Molecule: ribosomal RNA, 303 nt
Filed under: uncultured bacterium
Lineage: Bacteria
Description: partial 16S ribosomal RNA
Rfam family: Bacterial small subunit ribosomal RNA
Source: RNAcentral
AGCAGUAGCCGCGGGAACACGGAGGGUGCAAGCGUUGUCCGGAUUUAUUGGGUUUAAAGGGUGCGUAGGCGGCCUAAUAAGUCAGUGGUGAAAGCCUCCAGCUUAACUGGAGAACUGCCAUUGAUACUGUUAGGCUUGAGUAUACUUGAGGUAGGCGGAAUUGACAGUGUAGCGGUGAAAUGCAUAGAUAUUGUCAAGAACACCAAUUGCGAAGGCAGCUUACUAAAUUAUAACUGACGCUGAGGCACGAAAGUGUGGGUAUCAAACAGGAUUAGAUACCCGCGUAGUCCCUGUCUCUUAUAC